AGGCGGGUAGCUCAGCGGUAGAGCGCCCGUAUUACAUGCGGGAGGUCGCUGGUUCAAAUCCAGCCCCGCCUA
RNAcentral lists this transfer RNA (72 nucleotides) under Candidatus Poribacteria bacterium. RNAcentral's name for it is "tRNA-Val". It matches the Rfam family "tRNA". From Rfam's summary of the family: Transfer RNA (tRNA) molecules are approximately 80 nucleotides in length. Their secondary structure includes four short double-helical elements and three loops (D, anti-codon, and T loops). The record is from RNAcentral. Lineage: Bacteria; Candidatus Poribacteria.